This 233-nucleotide long non-coding RNA is filed under the name Mytilus galloprovincialis (Mediterranean mussel). The record is from RNAcentral. Lineage: Eukaryota; Metazoa; Mollusca; Bivalvia; Mytilida; Mytilidae.
ACUUUGUUUGAUUUCAUCAAAAUUGAAUAAUUGGGGUUCUUUGAUAUGCCGAAUCUAACUAUGUAUGUAGAUUCUUAAUUUUUGGUCCCUUUUUCAAAUUGGUCUACAUUAAGGUCCACAGGGUCCAAAAUUAAACUUAGUUUGAUUUUAACAAAAAUUGAAUCCUUGGGGUUCUUUGAUAUGCUGAAUUUAAAAAUGUACUUAGAUUUUUUAAUUAUUGGCCUAGUUUUCAA